This is a long non-coding RNA of Eucalyptus grandis, 1992 nucleotides long. RefSeq lists it as uncharacterized. The transcript has 4 exons. Lineage: Eukaryota; Viridiplantae; Streptophyta; Magnoliopsida; Myrtales; Myrtaceae. The record is from RefSeq and is a predicted model, not a curated record.
AACCCUAGCAAAGGCUGUGCGUGUCUGCGUGCGUUUUCUGAUCUUUAUGUUUGUGAAGAAGAAGCUGCUUUUGAAGAAAAUGGCCCCUGCACCAAAUGCCGCUGUGAACCAACAAAACCAGUGCACCAUCUGAUUGGAGGGCCUGCCUGCGCGCACCAUUGUGGCGCUCCGCGGCAGCCAAACCUUCCAUUUGGAUAGCAGCCACCAUCUGGAGUUUACUGUAGACUUGAUCAGGGAUGAUGGCGGUCCUAUCAGAGAACACUACUCCUGUCGAAGCCUCUGUAGAGAAACCACCCAUAGGAUGAUGGGUUCAGUUAAUGGUUCUGGCCAGGCCUCAGUGUUGUCUCAUGAUACAAGUAUCACUCAUCCUCGUCUUGGCAUCAACAGAAGGCCGAAUCGUGGAUAUUCAUUUCAGGGUCUUAUGCAGAGAAUAACUCUGCACAACCAUAUCUUUUGUGGAUAUCGAGGCAUGCUGGGUUAGACAGAUUCACUUUGAUCCACUAAAAAGACUUUUGGCCAUGGGCACUUUUCGAGGAUGCUGGGUUGGAUAUCACUCAUCUUUGUCUUGGCAUUGACAGUAGGUUCUCUAUCAGCUCUUGAUCCUGUUUUUGUUUUUGAUCCCAUAACGAGGGAGUACAGAAGAUUGCCAACAUCAGGAGAAAAAGAUAUAGGCAGUCAUCCAGUCGGACUUGGUUUCGAUCCUUCAACAGGAAAGUACAUCCGUGGACAUAUGUGAAUGAAAGAAGAAGGUGCUAUGAAGUGACUACACUAGAAGUGAGUUCGUGGAGGAAAUUGGAGGUACUUGAUCGUUGCAGGCUUAUUUUGUAAAUGAACCUAUAUUCUGGAACAGAGCCAUUCACUGGGAAAGCCUCUCAAAUAGAAUGUGACUUCAUGAUAUCAUUUGACGUAUGUCAUGAGAGGUUUCGGAAGAUUUCAUUUCCCAAAUGUAUAUCUGACUUUGUCAUCAGUCCACGUGCUGAAGAUGUUGGCCAAUUAGGCCUUGGAUCACACCACGAUAAUAAUGGUCAAUUGCUCCUACCCCCAAGGUUUUAUCCCCGAUGGAUAUAACCACCUCACGUCAAUGAUCAAACCCAACGAACUUGAGCUGCUAGGCUUCAGAGGAUGCUCAAUUAUAGUAGAACAUGAUAACGAGCAGAUGAGAUUAUGGGAAGUGAUGGGUAACAAGCUCGAAGACCUUUCCAUCUGGUUUUGGGAUGAACAUGAUACUCACGUGCUGUGGAAUCCCCACAUGACUUAUAAAGUCGUUGGUAGGUUGAGCAGGGAAUAUUAUCUGUUGGAGUUAAGUGCUUGUUAUGGUGAUGUUCGGAACCAAAAAAAGCACUUCUCUCAGUUCCUUCGAAAAGGGCAAAUUACCUGCUGCUGGACAUCCCUGGCCUCCCUCCAAUGCUUAUUACGCUGGUGCAGCCCCUGUGGAGCAGUCGAUGAAUUUACCAUCUCCACCGAAGUCCAGCUCAAGCGGCCUGCUACCAGCUAAGCAAACAGCUUUUCAAGCUGAAGGAUCUGGAACGAUCAACAUCCAGUUGCCUGACGUUGGUGAAGUGGUGGUGGCUGUAAGUGCAGAUGUUCAACCGAGAGAUGGAAUAGAUGGUCCCGAGGGAUAUUAUUUCAGAUGGCGAGCCGUUGAGGUCCCAUUGGAGUGAUCUGACAGAGGAAAGCAGAUAAAUGGUUUGUUUUCGAACUGAUCCAAUCAUUAUGGUGGGGUCGUCAAGAAGCUGCCGGGACAAAUAAGUGAUUUUCUGAAGUGGACGAUCGUGGUGUGUUAAAAAUAGUUGGAAGCGAAAACCUUAUAUGCUUCAUUUAGGGUCAUGAAGAACCUGCUGCUUUCGUGAAAUUCUCGGUCAAUCACUUCUCGCUGCCUGAUCGCUAUUCGAAAUAGAUCUCUUUGGCAUUUGCAGGUGAAUGAAGUUAUCUGGUUGAAGAGUCUCACUUCAAUAUCGUUUGAUAUACUAAGAUCGAUUCAGAAAAGUAAUA